This 392-nucleotide ribosomal RNA is filed under the name Algyroides fitzingeri. RNAcentral's name for it is "partial 16S ribosomal RNA". It matches the Rfam family "Bacterial large subunit ribosomal RNA", at positions 1986 to 2570 of the family's 2925-position model. Lineage: Eukaryota; Metazoa; Chordata; Lepidosauria; Squamata; Lacertidae. The record is from RNAcentral.
ACUAGAAUGAAUGGCUAAAUGAGGACUAAACUGUCUCUUGCAGGCUGGCCAAUGAAAUUGAUUUUCCAGUACAAAAGCUGGAAUAAAAACAUAAGACGAGAAGACCCUGUGGAGCUUCAAAACCGAACUCAUUAAACAUGUUUCUUCGGAUUUUUAGUUGGGGCGACUUCGGAGAACAAAAAAACCUCCAAAACAUGACCUACCCACUUUGUCAAGAUCAACAUACCAAAACAACUACAUGAGACCCAGCAACUACCCUAAUGUUAUCUGACCAAUGAACCAAGUUACCCCAGGGAUAACAGCGCCAUCCCCUUCUAGAGUCCCUAUCGACAAGGGGGUUUACGACCUCGAUGUUGGAUCAGGACAUCCCAAUGGUGCAGCCGCCAUUAAAG